This 30-nucleotide non-coding RNA is filed under the name Rattus norvegicus (Norway rat). Lineage: Eukaryota; Metazoa; Chordata; Mammalia; Rodentia; Muridae. The record is from RNAcentral.
UCACCGCCACAGAUUCCUUUGCUACCUCUG